Non-coding RNA from Cyanistes caeruleus (blue tit), 401 nucleotides. Lineage: Eukaryota; Metazoa; Chordata; Aves; Passeriformes; Paridae. The record is from RefSeq and is a predicted model, not a curated record.
CAACCACAGGGAAAUCAAAUUAACCUGGAAUCCCCUCUAACUACUUGGGCUAAAUCCUUAUUUGCUGGAGUUGGGAAAAAGGCAAUAGAUUUGUGGGUCUCUGCACCGAUUUAAAAACAAAUAAACAGGUUUUCUUUGCUGUAUCUUCUUUAUUCCCAGCAGCUUAACCAGAAGGCUGUGAUUGCAGACUUGAAAAUCAGAUAAAAAUACGCAAAAAAAGGAGGAAUCUCUCAGAAGCUGUGAAGAGUUGAACCAAAGGCAGACUGGAUGGCAGACAUCUGCUGUGACAGACUCCAGAAUGUCAACCAGCAGGGAAGUACCGUUCCCAAAAGAUCUGCUGUCAGAGGGAGAAAAGAAUUUCCCUGUGUGCUGUUAGAGCAGCCUGGUUUGGUUUGGGAGGA